RNAcentral lists this ribosomal RNA (253 nucleotides) under uncultured bacterium. Its description in RNAcentral is "partial 16S ribosomal RNA". It matches the Rfam family "Bacterial small subunit ribosomal RNA", at positions 524 to 776 of the family's 1533-position model. The record is from RNAcentral.
UACGUAGGGUGCAAGCGUUGUCCGGAAUUAUUGGGCGUAAAGAGCUCGUAGGCGGUUCGUCGCGUCGGCUGUGAAAUCCCGAGGCUCAACCUCGGGUCUGCAGUCGAUACGGGCGGACUGGAGUUCGGCAGGGGAGACUGGAAUUCCUGGUGUAGCGGUGAAAUGCGCAGAUAUCAGGAGGAACACCGGUGGCGAAGGCGGGUCUCUGGGCCGAAACUGACGCUGAGGAGCGAAAGCGUGGGGAGCAAACAGG